GACGAACGCUGGCGGCGUGCUUAACACAUGCAAGUCGAACGAUGAAGCCUAGCUUGCUAGGUGGAUUAGUGGCGAACGGGUGAGUAAUACGUGAGUAACCUACCUUUAACUCUGGGAUAAGCCCGGGAAACUGGGUCUAAUACCGGAUACGACCAAUCUCCGCAUGGGGUGUUGGUGGAAAGCGUUAUGUAGUGGUUAUAGAUGGGCUCACGGCCUAUCAGCUUGUUGGUGAGGUAACGGCUCACCAAGGCGACGACGGGUAGCCGGCCUGAGAGGGUGACCGGCCACACUGGGACUGAGACACGGCCCAGACUCCUACGGGAGGCAGCAGUGGGGAAUAUUGCACAAUGGGCGCAAGCCUGAUGCAGCGACGCCGCGUGAGGGAUGACGGCCUUCGGGUUGUAAACCUCUGUUAGCAGGGAAGAAGAGAGAUUGACGGUACCUGCAGAGAAAGCGCCGGCUAACUACGUGCCAGCAGCCGCGGUAAUACGUAGGGCGCGAGCGUUGUCCGGAAUUAUUGGGCGUAAAGAGCUUGUAGGCGGUUUGUCGCGUCUGCUGUGAAAGGCCCGGGGCUUAACUCCGUGUAUUGCAGUGGGUACGGGCAGACUAGAGUGCAGUAGGGGAGACUGGAAUUCCUGGUGUAGCGGUGGAAUGCGCAGAUAUCAGGAGGAACACCGAUGGCGAAGGCAGGUCUCUGGGCUGUAACUGACGCUGAGAAGCGAAAGCAUGGGGAGCGAACAGGAUUAGAUACCCUGGUAGUCCAUGCCGUAAACGUUGGGCACUAGGUGUGGGGGACAUUCCACGUUUUCCGCGCCGUAGCUAACGCAUUAAGUGCCCCGCCUGGGGAGUACGGCCGCAAGGCUAAAACUCAAAGAAAUUGACGGGGGCCCGCACAAGCGGCGGAGCAUGCGGAUUAAUUCGAUGCAACGCGAAGAACCUUACCAAGGCUUGACAUAUACUGGACCGCAUCAGAGAUGGUGUUUCCCUUCGGGGCUGGUAUACAGGUGGUGCAUGGUUGUCGUCAGCUCGUGUCGUGAGAUGUUGGGUUAAGUCCCGCAACGAGCGCAACCCUCGUUCUAUGUUGCCAGCACGUUAUGGUGGGGACUCAUAGGAGACUGCCGGGGUCAACUCGGAGGAAGGUGGGGAUGACGUCAAAUCAUCAUGCCCCUUAUGUCUUGGGCUUCACGCAUGCUACAAUGGCCGGUACAGAGGGUUGCGAUACUGUGAGGUGGAGCUAAUCCCUAAAAGCCGGUCUCAGUUCGGAUUGGGGUCUGCAACUCGACCCCAUGAAGUCGGAGUCGCUAGUGAUCGCAGAUCAGCAACGCUGCGGUGAAUACGUUCCCGGGCCU
RNAcentral lists this ribosomal RNA (1349 nucleotides) under uncultured bacterium. RNAcentral's name for it is "bacterial SSU rRNA". It matches the Rfam family "Bacterial small subunit ribosomal RNA", at positions 28 to 1381 of the family's 1533-position model. The record is from RNAcentral.